Molecule: ribosomal RNA, 473 nt
Filed under: uncultured bacterium
Lineage: Bacteria
Description: bacterial SSU rRNA
Rfam family: Bacterial small subunit ribosomal RNA
Source: RNAcentral
ACUCCUACGGGAGGCAGCAGUGGGGAAUAUUGCACAAUGGGGGAAACCCUGAUGCAGCCAUGCCGCGUGUGUGAAGAAGGCCUUCGGGUUGUAAAGCACUUUCAGUAGGGAGGAAGGUAGUGUAGUUAACACCUGCAUUAUUUGACGUUACCUACAGAAGAAGCACCGGCUAACUCCGUGCCAGCAGCCGCGGUAAUACGGAGGGUGCGAGCGUUAAUCGGAAUUACUGGGCGUAAAGCGCAUGCAGGCGGCCUGUUAAGUCAGAUGUGAAAGCCCGGGGCUUAACCUCGGAAUUGCAUUUGAAACUGGCAGGCUAGAGUCUUGUAGAGGGGGGUAGAAUUUCAGGUGUAGCGGUGAAAUGCGUAGAGAUCUGAAGGAAUACCAGUGGCGAAGGCGGCCCCCUGGACAAAGACUGACGCUCAGAUGCGAAAGCGUGGGGAGCAAACAGGAUUAGACACCCUGGUAGCACAGAG